This 364-nucleotide transfer-messenger RNA is filed under the name Xanthocytophaga flava. It matches the Rfam family "transfer-messenger RNA". Rfam says of the family: Bacterial tmRNA, also known as 10Sa RNA or SsrA, is named for its dual tRNA and mRNA-like properties. Its role is to liberate the mRNA from a stalled ribosome. To accomplish this part of the tmRNA is used as a reading frame that ends in a translation stop signal. Lineage: Bacteria; Pseudomonadati; Bacteroidota; Cytophagia; Cytophagales; Rhodocytophagaceae. The record is from RNAcentral.
GGGGCUGACCGGUUUUGACGGCCUGUGCGGCUGCGAGUAAGCAUGUCGGGAGUUGGAAGGACCUCCUGUUAAAAAUUCUUCCGAACUAUAAUUGGCGAAUCUAACUACGCCCUUGCCGCUUAAUUAAGAAUUAAGUCGCAUGUGUCCUGUUAUCUCUACACACUACCGGGAUAACGCUCAGGGCAUCAUCAGGUAAGUGUCUUGUGUUGUAAGGUUACGCGCAACAUACAGUAUUAGUAAAUAAGGUUAAUGUGCGGGGUGUGGCUACCUUGCAUUAACCCGACAAUCAACCAGCCAAUAAACAUGUAGAAGGCUCGACGGUUUCCUUGUCCGGACGAGGGUUCGAAUCCCUCCAGCUCCACAA